GUGUAAGUUACAAGCUCAAUCAAUGGAAGCUGGCCAGGAGAAAAGGUCCUUCAGGUGCAGGAAUCAGAUGCAAUGAUGAUGAAGAGGCUCGCAGAACCAUCAUCUGCUUCUUUGGACACACUGGUUGAUGAUCCCUGAUUCUCAGAGGUACAUCGUGGUGAAUUGGUCAAGUGGACUUUUACCUUGCAUGGCCCUGUACAAAGCCGUAUGACCAUCUGCCUGCACUCUGAGCCGAGGUAGCAUGAGGAUAGACAGAGGCAUGAGGCAGUGGAGGAGGGUGAGAUGGAGGGACAGAUUAAGCAGAUCUUAAUAUGGGAGUAAUUCACAAGUUACAUCAUCAUUUAAUAAACCUCACGUCGUUUCCAUGUUAUUUUAUUUAAUCAAUCUCAAGUCCGUUAUCUGACAAUUGCGCUCUUUGUUCAUAAAUGUCAUUAAUGACCAUGACAAUUGUAUUAGUAAAUAUCAUUAGUAAAUAUUGACUUAUUAAUUGUGUUUUGUAAGAUUUCUGAUGUGAUUUCUGAAUAUGCCCUGUAAAAUUACAG
Molecule: long non-coding RNA, 542 nt
Organism: Cyprinus carpio carpio
Lineage: Eukaryota; Metazoa; Chordata; Actinopteri; Cypriniformes; Cyprinidae
Source: Ensembl